Chelonus insularis is the source of this 570-nucleotide long non-coding RNA. RefSeq lists it as uncharacterized. The transcript is spliced from 3 exons. Lineage: Eukaryota; Metazoa; Arthropoda; Insecta; Hymenoptera; Braconidae. The record is from RefSeq and is a predicted model, not a curated record.
UGAAUCAGAUUUUAAACAAAUUCAUAAAGAGGCAGUUGAUAAAUUAAUUCUAAAAUGGCCAUCGGUUGCAAAAAAAAUUAUUAAUAUUAGUAAGAAACGAAAAGAUUAUCAAGUAUCGCAAUACCUCAAGACUAAUAAUAUAUUAUUGGCGAACGAUUCAGAUCUUGGUAAUAUUGAGAUUAUUGCCCUUGAAUUACUUCCAUUACUAUUGGGUACAAUAAACAAGAAAUCUAAAAAAUCAGGAAAACAUUGGAGACCAAAUAUAACUGACAUUAAGCAAUCAUUUCUUUUUCAUGCAGAGACUAUUGAUGAACUACAACCAUAUAUAGAAAGCAAAAUUAGGAUUUACAAGCAGCAUAAAUUGACUCUUCAGCCUUUUGUAGUCAUCAUUGGACUAUUAGAUAACAUCGAAAGUUCGUUUGUAGUAAUAAAUGAUCAGCGAUAUGUUUUACCUACCCCCUUAAAAGCAAUAGACACAUGUUUUAAAAUCAUACACGCAUUGAAUGCAACUUACUCAGUAGAGUGUGAACACGUUUGGGAAUUUCUAGAAAAAUACAUUUAUGAAGUUAC